CCUACGGGCGGCAGCAGUGGGGAAUAUUGCACAAUGGGGGAAACCCUGAUGCAGCAACGCCGCGUGAGUGAAGAAGUAUUUCGGUGUGUAAAGCUCUAUCAGCAGGGAAGAAGAUGACGGUACCUGAAUAAGAAGCCCCGGCUAACUACGUGCCAGCAGCCGCGGUAAUACGUAGGGGGCAAGCGUUAUCCGGAUUUACUGGGUGUAAAGGGGGCGCAGACGGCAGUGCAAGUCUGGAGUGAAAGCCCGGGGCCCAACCCCGGAACUGCUCUGGAAACUGUGCGGCUAGAGUGCAGGAGGGGCAGGCGGAAUUCCUGGUGUAGCGGUGAAAUGCGUAGAUAUUAGGAGGAACACCGGUGGCGAAGGCGGCCUGCUGGACUGCAACUGACGUUGAGGCUCGAAAGCGUGGGGAGCAAACAGGAUUAGAUACCCGAGUAGUC
Molecule: ribosomal RNA, 440 nt
Filed under: uncultured bacterium
Lineage: Bacteria
Description: partial 16S ribosomal RNA
Rfam family: Bacterial small subunit ribosomal RNA
Source: RNAcentral